UUCGAUUCUGGCUCAGGAUGAACGCUAGCGACAGGCUUAACACAUGCAAGUCGAGGGGCAGCAUAAAAGUAGCAAUACUUUGGUGGCGACCGGCGCACGGGUGAGUAACGCGUAUGCAACCUACCUAUCAGGAGGGGGAUAACCCGGCGAAAGUCGGACUAAUACCGCAUAAAACAGGGGCACCGCAUGGUGAUAUUUGUUAAAGAUUAAUUGCUGAUAGAUGGGCAUGCGUUCCAUUAGGUAGUUGGUGAGGUAAUGGCUCACCAAGCCGACGAUGGAUAGGGGAACUGAGAGGUUGGUCCCCCACACUGGUACUGAGACACGGACCAGACUCCUACGGGAGGCAGCAGUGAGGAAUAUUGGUCAAUGGGCGAGAGCCUGAACCAGCCAAGUCGCGUGAAGGAAGAAGGAUCUAUGGUUCGUAAACUUCUUUUGCAGGGGAAUAAAGUGGAGGACGUGUCCUCUUUUGUAUGUACCCUGAGAAUAAGGAUCGGCUAACUCCGUGCCAGCCGCAGC
RNAcentral lists this ribosomal RNA (516 nucleotides) under uncultured bacterium. RNAcentral describes it as "bacterial SSU rRNA". It matches the Rfam family "Bacterial small subunit ribosomal RNA", at positions 12 to 518 of the family's 1533-position model. The record is from RNAcentral.